Molecule: transfer RNA, 67 nt
Filed under: Arachnobas tricolor
Lineage: Eukaryota; Metazoa; Arthropoda; Insecta; Coleoptera; Curculionidae
Description: tRNA-Ser
Source: RNAcentral
GAAUCAAGUUACUCAAAAAUAAGCUUCUAACUUAAUUUUUAAGCGGUGAAAUACCGUUUUUGAUUCU